CCCGAGUUGGUGUAGUGGUAACACAUCCAUUGAGAAGGUGGAGGACCCAGGUUCAAAUCCUGAACUCAGGG
RNAcentral lists this transfer RNA (71 nucleotides) under Fusarium pseudograminearum. Its description in RNAcentral is "tRNA-Ser (AGA) (tRNA-Ser-AGA-7-1)". It matches the Rfam family "tRNA". Rfam says of the family: Transfer RNA (tRNA) molecules are approximately 80 nucleotides in length. Their secondary structure includes four short double-helical elements and three loops (D, anti-codon, and T loops). Further hydrogen bonds mediate the characteristic L-shaped molecular structure. tRNAs have two regions of fundamental functional importance: the anti-codon, which is responsible for specific mRNA codon recognition, and the 3' end, to which the tRNAs corresponding amino acid is attached (by aminoacyl-tRNA synthetases). tRNAs cope with the degeneracy of the genetic code in two manners: having more than one tRNA (with a specific anti-codon) for a particular amino acid; and 'wobble' base-pairing, i.e. permitting non-standard base-pairing at the 3rd anti-codon position. Lineage: Eukaryota; Fungi; Ascomycota; Sordariomycetes; Hypocreales; Nectriaceae. RNAcentral also lists the same sequence under 1 other name. The record is from RNAcentral.